UUCCUAAAGAUUAAGCCAUGCAUGCCCAUGAUUAGAACGUGUUUGUAGCAUCGAAUCUGCGAACGGCUCCACAUAACAAUUGUAACCCAAGGCCAUCCAAGGGAUUCACCAGCGAUUAGUAGAAGCGCUUUUGUGACUGCGUCGGAAGGAAUUAGUAGUUUUGGGGCAACCCGAGAUCAACGUACCAGAAAGCUAGGUCCGCUGGCGUAACGAAUUUUGCAUGGGUGUCCGCUCUUCAAGACGGAUAUCCCCGGUAAUUCUAAGGUUAAUACGACAUUAGUGUGCGAAGCUCGGUUGAGCACCCUGGCGCAAGCCGGGGAGUUCCUGGGCACCGGACGGCGCUUCAUCUCCCCCGCUAAGAAAUUCGAGUUGGAUCUCCAGCUUCAGACUUGAUAGGCGCCAGAUUGGCAAAAAUACAGCAUCCGAAAAAAGAUCCGUCCGGCCGACCGCGUCGGGUUCUGCUCUCCUGUGGGUUCCUCUUUUGGGGCUCGCGAAGCGGGGGGGCGGGGCUUGGCAAGUGUAGGUGUGGUUUCCCAGACGUUUUCCCGCAAGGUUGAGAACAGAAGGGAGACAUUAAGGCAGUGUUCGCUUAGCGGCACUUUGCCCCGGACUUUUGACCUAUCAACUCACGAUGAAAGCGCCCACGGUCCGCACAUGGUAACAACGGGUACAGAGGAUCAGGGUUCGAUCCUGGAGAGUGGGCCUUAAAAAUUGCUCACACUUCUAAGGAAGGCAGCAGGCGCGCAACGUUCCCAUUGGGCCAAGCUCGAGGGCGUUACAGGAAGCAUUGGAGCCUGCCCAUUUAAGGGCGGGCUACCAGAAUGGGGCCACCGUAAAUAUACGGCCGAGUAACAAUUAGAGGACAAGUCUGGUGCCAGCACCCGCGGUAAUUCCAGCUCUAAUGGCGUAAAUUAAAGUUGCUGCAGUUGAAACGCUCGUAGUCGGGGGAGUCCAGAGGAGGCGGUCGGGGCUAGUUCCCGGCAAGAUCUUCUGCGUGCUUCCAUACAAAAUCCGGUCAGAAACGGAGGCUCUUGAAGGAAAGAUGGUUCUAGAAAAUGCGGGGAUAUUCCAAACAGGGGGCGACAAAGCUGAACUAUGGGAACCUUGGGAGGCAGAAGGAGGAGACAGCCCCACACAUUCGGUUGAUAUAAGGCACAUCUUCACUGGAAGCCACCCCUUGCUGAGCCUUUCAGGCAAAGGAGGAUCUCUCGGUAGCGUUGCUGUUCUGGUCCCUAAAAAUGAAGGAGCGGACUUUUCGGUAGGGGGCUUUUUUAGGAGGAAAGUUCUCGCUCUCUCCUCCCCAAAAUGCUGGGGGGUGGGAGGUGCUUGUAGACAAACCACCGCAUGACAUGAUUCAAAACAAACCCGGCCUUGAAGGGAGCCUCCUGUUAGUGCGCAUCUUUUUGCAAGCUUGAUGGACGGCACUGUUGAUGGGCCAAACUGACUUGGAACACAAUCGUUCCCCCCCUCUUUUGGGGGAGACUUUUGUUAGGGGCUCGAAGGCUUUCCCCCACUUUUUUUUUGUGGGGUUGUAGAGCCCUCUUGCACGCAAGCUUUUUCGGGGGUUGAGCCUUCACUCUUGUAGUAAGGUUCCCUAUUCCAAACCGGGAAACAAAAAGCACCCUGCCCCGGAUUCACCAUGAAUAAAGUAGAGUGAUCGAGGCGAGCCAGUCAAUCAAAACCGAAAAGGCAACGUGUAUAUCGCAGCAUGGUAUAACGCAGGUCGGGGUACACGCCUCAGGAAUCACGGGAGGGCAACUUUCCGCCUGGGGUGGGGGAGGCAACAUCAACUGGGGCUCUGUGCUCUCAAAGUAGUCUCCUUUGGCAGACCCUCACGGGCGCCUUGUAAUUCUGAAGUCGUUGAUCUUAAAUAUCGACUCUGCGCAUUUGGUUUUUGUCGGCGGUUCUCCGCUUGGUGAGAGCUGGGUGCGUGGGGGAGAGCACGGAUGCCAAUUGGUCAAAAGGGGUGUUCGGGGGUUGCAGAAUCGCUGGGCGAGGGGUGAAAUCCGUUGACCCUAGCGAGUCUACCAAGUGCGAAAGCAGCAGCCAAGGGCACUUUCAUUGAUCAAGAGCGAAAGUUGAGGGUUCGAAGACGAUCAGAUACCGUCGUAGUCUCAACUAUAAAUGAUACCGACCAGGGAUGUGGCGAUUAGUCCGUCUCGACGCCCCCCGACCCUCGGCGAAAGCAAAGUCUUUGGGUUCCGGGGGGAGUAUGGUCGCAAGACUGAAACUUAAAGGAAUUGACGGAAGGGCACACCAGGAGUGGAGCCUGCGGCUUAAUUUGACUCAACACGGGGAAGCUCACUAGGUCAAGAUGCGUGAAUGAAGGACCAGCUGAUAGACUUUUCCCAAUACCGUAAGUGGUGGUGCAUGGCCGUUCUUAGUUCGUGGAUUGAUUUGUCUGGUCGAUUCCGAUAACGAGCGAGACACUAACGAUCUAAAUAGGGUAUCCCCUUUUGUCUUGGAAAAUGUGCCUUUUGGGAGAAGAAGUUUCCUGGAUCGUCCCCUUCGGAUGCGUAUGCGGAAAGGGGGGAUUGUUGAAGGGGGACUUAGUCGGACUCACAGCCUUUUUGCAGUUAGUAUGGUGGGUGCUCUUUUGUGUCUACCUGAAAACGGGGGAGGUGUGACCUGGGAAAUCUUCCCGGUGUUGCAGUGGGACUGGCUCGAGGGGGGCCGAAUGAAGAGGCGAGAGCGUGGAAAAAAACCCGUUCUUCUUAGAGGUAUCGGGUGCUGACAAAGCCCCAAAAACAGUGCAAUAACAGGUCUGUAAUGCCCUUAGAUGUCCUAGGCCGCACGCGCGCUACAAUGACGCGGAUAGCGAGCCACAAUCCUAACCGACCGGGCCGAGGGAGCCGCUGGGCAACCGGCGGAGCCUUUAGUCCGAAAACCCCCGGGUCUAUCGAUCAUCAGCAUAAGCUGAAACUGGGAAAUCUCCAAGAACGGAGUACUCGUCUGGGCCUGCGCUUUGUAACUAUAGGACACCAACGAGGAAUUUCUAGUAGGCGCGGGUCAUCAGCCCGCGCCGACUCUGUCCCUGCCCUUUGUACACACCGCCCGUCGCUGCUACCGAUUGAGUGGUUUGGUUACGUUCGUGGAGUUGCCCUGGUAAAGCCGGCCUCGCAAGGGGCUAUUGAGCUGGGGAUUGUGUGAAGCGAAAUCUACCGAGCCGCUGGAGGAAGCAGAAGUCGUAACAAGGAAUCG
This 3201-nucleotide ribosomal RNA is filed under the name Semimorula liquescens. RNAcentral's name for it is "bacterial SSU rRNA". The stretch from base 866 to 3201 matches the Rfam family "Eukaryotic small subunit ribosomal RNA". The record is from RNAcentral. Lineage: Eukaryota; Evosea; Eumycetozoa; Echinosteliales; Echinosteliidae.